RNAcentral lists this ribosomal RNA (496 nucleotides) under uncultured bacterium. Its description in RNAcentral is "partial 16S ribosomal RNA". It matches the Rfam family "Bacterial small subunit ribosomal RNA", at positions 28 to 507 of the family's 1533-position model. The record is from RNAcentral.
GAUGAACGCUGGCGGCGUGCCUAAUACAUGCAAGUCGAGCGAACAGAUGAGGAGCUUGCUCCUCUGACGUUAGCGGCGGACGGGUGAGUAACACGUGGAUAACCUACCUAUAAGACUGGGAUAACUUCGGGAAACCGGAGCUAAUACCGGAUAAUAUAUUGAACCGCAUGGUUCAAUAGUGAAAGACGGUUUUGCUGUCACUUAUAGAUGGAUCCGCGCCGCAUUAGCUAGUUGGUAAGGUAACGGCUUACCAAGGCAACGAUGCGUAGCCGACCUGAGAGGGGAUCCGGCACACUGGAACUGAGACACGGUCCAGACUCCUACGGGAGGCAGCAGUAGGGAAUCUUCCGCAAUGGGCGAAAGCCUGACGGAGCAACGCCGCGUGAGUGAUGAAGGUCUUCGGAUCGUAAAACUCUGUUAUUAGGGAAGAACAAAUGUGUAAGUAACUGUGCACGUCUUGACGGUACCUAAUCAGAAAGCCACGGCUAACUACGUG